RNAcentral lists this long non-coding RNA (1663 nucleotides) under Solanum tuberosum (potato). Its description in RNAcentral is "long non-coding RNA (STUB_LNC010702)". Lineage: Eukaryota; Viridiplantae; Streptophyta; Magnoliopsida; Solanales; Solanaceae. The record is from RNAcentral.
UUUGUUCCACUCCCAUCAGUGGCAGGAUUUUAUCUGGCUCGUUUCUUCACGAAGAAAAGCGUCUCAUCAUACUUUACUUUCGUUGUGCUUGGAAGCUUGAUGGUUAUAUGGUUUGUGAUGCACAAUUACUGGGAUCUGAAUAUUUGGAUGUCAGGCAUGCCUUUAAAAUCCUUUUGCAAGCUCAUUGUUGGUAGUGUUAUCCUGGCAAUGGCCAUUCCUGGUUUAGCUAUCCUCCCAGCGCAAUUUCGCUUUCUGACUGAGAUUGGUUUGAUUGGCCAUGCUUUUCUGCUGUGUUAUAUUGAAAAUCGCUUCUUUAGUUACUCUAGUGUUUACUACUAUGGGUUGGAGGAAGAUGUGAUGUACCCAAGUUACAUGGUAGUCAUAACGACAUUUAUUGGUUUGGCGGUUGUGAGGAGACUUUCCGCGGACAACCGCAUUGGAUCAAAGGCUGUUUGGGUCCUAACUUGCUUAUACUCCUCAAAGCUGGCUGUGCUUUUUGUCACAUCAAAGGGAGUUUUGUGGGUGUCAGCUGUCCUCCUGCUGGCUGUUUCUCCUCCCCUGCUUCUUUACAGGUAUCUCCUGAUCCAGAUUGAUGUGUCCUUGUCCCCUCCCCUCCCCCCCCACCCCUACCCAACAACUCAAUCCCAAGAGAAAGACAAUGAGAAAAACAGACCCCACAUACACCUAGGGAUGGCAAUGGAGCGGUGCGGGUAUGGAGCGGGUUUAAGACAAUGUGGGGCUGCCCCGGGGGGGGUGGAGUCUCUAAGCGGGUGCGGGGCAGAGUGGGGUGGGUCAAAACCUUUGUUUUUAAAAAUUAUGCGGGUGAGGGUCUCCUCCCUUCUUGUGUUCUAGUGCCUCUUGUUUGAUAAAAAUCUCAAAUAAUAUAGAAGUUUUCUCGUCUAUAUUUGAAGUUUAUUAUCAUGUUAGUAUUAAUAUAUCAACAGGAAAAUAUACUCGAUCUAAAAUUUGAAGUAUUUGUUUUGGUUAGUACUGUGAUAAACUGAUUGUUUAAUUUUCUUGAUUUAGCAGUCAAGUGAAAAAUGAAGAUUAUUGGUGCCAAUUCCAGUGUGAUGCAUUGUUCACACAGUUGAAUUAUGGAAAUUGGAUACUAUUAAUAUGACAAUUUAUUUAAAAGAAAAAAAAUCAAGGAUAACAAUAAAUUUAAAAUAUAGUUUCUUUAUUUGAGGUUUGGAUGCAAAGCUGUAUACAUUGAUGUGUAUAUAUUCUUGAUUACGUGAUCAAACAAAAAUAAUUAGGGAUCAGAUAAGAAUUUUGUAUGAACGGGGCGGGGUGAGGCGAGACGGGUUUAUGCGGGGUGGGUAGAUCAAAAUUUUUGUGGGUGAAGCUUUAUCCGCCCCACACCGCCCCAUUGCCAUCCCUACAUACACCAAAAGGAUUGUGUUCCUUUUUCAGAUUCCUAAUCUGUUUAUAUUGCAGGGACAAGUCAAGAACUGCCUCAAAGAUGAAACCUUGGCAAGGUUAUGCUCAUGCUGCUGUUGUUGCUUUAUCAGUUUGGUUUUGUCGUGAAACAGUAUUUGAAGCUCUUCAAUGGUGGCAUGGUAGACCUCCUUCUGAUGGUUUGCUUUUAGGCUCCUGCUUCCUCUUGACAGGAUUGGCUUGUGUUCCUAUUGUGGCACUUCACUUCUCACAUGUUAUGGUAUUC